Molecule: non-coding RNA, 2442 nt
Organism: Salmo salar (Atlantic salmon)
Lineage: Eukaryota; Metazoa; Chordata; Actinopteri; Salmoniformes; Salmonidae
Source: RefSeq, a predicted model, not a curated record
CUUUAUGUCACGAUAGACAGGAAGCUGUUAGUUUCACCUGUCCACUGCCUUCAGGUAACUAUAGACAGGAAGCUGUUAGUUUCACCUGUCCACUGCCUUCAGGUAACUAUAGACAGGAAGCUGUUAGUUUCACCUGUCCACUGCCUUCAGGUAACUAUAGACAGGAAGCUGUUAGUUUCACCUGUCCACUACCUUCAGGUAACUAGACAGGAAGCUGUUAGUUUCACCUGUCCACUGCCUUCAGGUAACUAUAGACAGGAAGCUGUUAGUUUCACCUGUCCACUACCUUCAGGUAACUAGACAGGAAGCUGUUAGUUUCACCUGUCCACUGCCUUUAUGUCACGAUAGACAGGAAGCUGUUAGUUUCACCUGUCCACUGCCUUCAGGUAACUAUAGACAGGAAGCUGUUAGUUUCACCUUUUCACUGCCUUCAGGUAACUAUAGACAGGAAGCUGUUAGUUACACCUGUCCACUGCCUUCAGGUAACUAUAGACAGGAAGCUCUUAGUUUCACCUGUCCACUACCUUCAGGUAACUAUAGACAGGAAGCUGUUAGUUUCACCUGUCCACUACCUUCAGGUAACUAUAGACAGGAAGCUGUUAGUUUCACCUGUCCACUGCCAUCAGGUAACUAUAGACAGGAAGCUGUUAGUUUCACCUCUCCACUGCCUUCAGGUAACUAUAGACAGGAAGCUGUUAGUUUCACCUGUCCACUGCCUUCAGGUUACUAUAGACAGGAAGUUGUAUCACCUGUACUAUAUAGAGGAAGUUGUAUCACCUGUACUGCGUCCCCUCAGCCCUACUUUAUUAUGAAUGAUAUUUUUAUGGGCUUCUGGUCCAUGCUCUAACUCAGGCCCUACAGUCUGCAGGUGUGUGUGAGAAAGGUGUGUAUGAGCUGUGUGUAAUACAGGUGUGUGUGUGAGCUGUGUAAGCAGGUGUGUGUGAGCUGUAUGUAAGGCAGGUGUGAAGUAAAGUUAUCCGCAUGCUUCCCAUCCAAAACAGUUUGUGAAUAUUUUAAUAUUUUGUACAUCGUGUGACGUUUCUGUUAAUUUCGGUGAAGGGUUUAUUGUUUGCGUUCUUUUCUCCUGUCAAGCUGAAGUUCGGUAGCCGAAGUCUACGCCCCCCUUCGUCAGUGAUUGGUCAACAGUAGGGAUACUUCAAGGAAGUGUUUGCCAUUCAACGACAGACUAAUAGUUUUCAUGCAAAUGUUUUCAUUAAGAAAUACUGCACCAAACAUCUUAGAUGUAAAACCAUUCGACUAGCUUCUCCUUGACAAAAAAACGUCAAUUUAUGACAGAUUUCUUGAGUUAUCUUUUAGAUUAAUUCUGAUUAUUUUGAGGAAGUGUAUACUGGCUACGGCGUCUCAAGUUGGACAAACAGUACCAUCGCUACUUUUUUUUUCUUGUUUUUCAAGCGAAGGUCUUUUAAGGGAGUAUGCGAGUACACUCGUUCGGCUCAGCCCAACCGAAGCAUGCGGAAGGAUUAACACAGGUGUGUGUGUGUGUGAGCUUGUAACACAGGUGUGUGUGUGAGAGCUUGUAACACAGGUGUGUGUUGUGAGCGUGUAAGACAGGUGUGUGUUAGAGCUGUGUGUAAGACAGGUUUGUGUGUGUGUGUGUCCGCGUUUGUCUAUAUCCAGUUUCUGUGUGUCCAAUACAUGUACUGUAAGACUGGUUGUGUUGUCAGUACUGUUAGACUGGUUGUGUUGUCAGUACUGUUAGACUGGUUGUGUUGUCAGUACUGUGAGACUGGUUGUGUUGUCAGUACUGUUAGACUGGUUGUGUUGUCAGUACUGUUAGACUGGUUGUGUUGUCAGUACUGUGAGACUGGUUGUGUUGUCAGUACUGUGAGACUGGUUGCGUUGUCAGUACUGUGAGACUGGUUGCUUUGUCAGUACUGUUAGACUGGUUGUGUUGUCAGUACUGUGAGACUGGUUGUGUUGUCAGUACUGUGAGACUGGUUGUGUUGUCAGUACUGUGAGACUGGUUGUGUUGUCAGUACUGUUAGACUGGUUGCUUUGUCAGUACUGUUAGACUGGUUGUGUUGUCAGUACUGUUAGACUGGUUGUGUUGUCAGUACUGUGAGCAUGUUGAGACUGUUUUAGGAGAUAAAAUUACACAGUAUAAAGAUAAUCACCUGCCUCCAACUAAAAUAUAUAUUUGAAUUUGAAAUACUUUAGUCCAGGCCAUUUUCUGACUUUGAAGGGACUUGUAUUUUCUUGGUCCUGUGCAGUUGUUAAUCAAACAAAUAUAUGUGCCCAGUUUUUAUUUUGUGUUUUUUUUUUUCAAUGUCAAUGUUAUUUUUGAAGAAAUUGUGAAUUAUUUAAAAAGGUGCCAAUAUAUAUAUUAGAACAUAACUGUAGUUCUCGGAUCUCUGUGGUCGUUAGACCCACCAGCUGUUCAGAAUUUAAUAAAGAGCUAGCUACAAAAGAUUUUAUACUUUA